UACGGGGGGGGCAAGCGUUGUUCGGAAUUACUGGGCGUAAAGGGCUCGUAGGUGGCCAACUAAGUCAGACGUGAAAUCCCUCGGCUUAACCGGAGAACUGCGUCUGAUACUGGAUGGCUUGAGUUCGGGAGAGGGAUGCGGAAUUCCAGGUGUAGCGGUGAAAUGCGUAGAUAUCUGGAGGAACACCGGUGGCGAAGGCGGCAACCUGGACCGACACUGACACUGAGGAGCGAAAGCCAGGGGAGCAAACGGG
RNAcentral lists this ribosomal RNA (253 nucleotides) under uncultured bacterium. Its description in RNAcentral is "partial 16S ribosomal RNA". It matches the Rfam family "Bacterial small subunit ribosomal RNA", at positions 524 to 776 of the family's 1533-position model. The record is from RNAcentral.